GCCCAAGUGGUGGAAUUUGGUAGACACAAGGGACUUAAAAUCCCUUGGCUCUUGUGGCCGUACCGGUUCAAGUCCGGUCUUGGGCA
This 86-nucleotide transfer RNA is filed under the name Spirochaetota bacterium. RNAcentral's name for it is "Spirochaetes bacterium (freshwater metagenome) tRNA-Leu". It matches the Rfam family "tRNA". From Rfam's summary of the family: Transfer RNA (tRNA) molecules are approximately 80 nucleotides in length. The record is from RNAcentral. Lineage: Bacteria; Pseudomonadati; Spirochaetota.